UAACUAUGGGCUUGGGCAGUUGGGCUUCUAUCUCCAUCAGGCAUCAGUAUCACAAACCCAAACUUAAUUCCCCACUCCACUUUUUUUUUUUUCUCUCUCUCUCUGACUCUCUCUCUUCACUUUUAUCUCUCGAUCUCAACUCUUUCCUUCGUUUCACAUGAAAUUCUUUUGAUUUCUCCAUCAGUUUUUUCACUACUUUAUCAAAUAUCAAGGAUUCUAGUUUUUUUUUUUCUUUUUUUUUCUCUCUCUCUUUCUCUUUCUCUGUUCUUCGAGUGCGUUCUGCAAAUCAUUAGAUCUACUCACAAUGCUGUUGAUUCACCACUACGUCUGAUCUCUUCUCUUUAACACACAAAGGUUUAAGGUUCGUUCUCUUUCUAUUUCGAUUCAUUCUUUCAUUUUACUUGUUCUCAACCUUCAUUAACUUUGAAUUGUUUGCAUUUCAGCUCAAUUUCAUUAAGAUAUUCAUUAUUUGUUCAAUUUCAAUACAUUUUAAUUAAAAAGUGAGAAAACAGAUAUACAGUAGUUUGAAUUGAAUGAGUAGAAGAAAUUAGAAAUGUUUUGAUUUCUUUUCAUUAUUUAUUAUUGUUCUAGGGUUUUUUUUCUCCCUCAAAUCAACCGUAUUUCCCGAUUAAAAAAAACUCAUCUUGUGGAAUUUUGGUUGAGUUUAUAAAGUUAGUUAAUGUUGAAGAAUGAAGGCUUUGAAGAGUAGUUUUUAGUUAUGUAAGAUAUUAAAAAUAUCAGGUCAUAUUUGCAGAUAACGAUUUAGUUUAUGGCGAGAUCAAGACAACAAUUUACGUCUGAGGAUGUAUUGAUUUUUGUUUAAUUAAUUAACAGGUCAUAUCAUUUUCACUCUAAACCGUUGACACAGUUUGUUUAGAUUGUUGGAAAAUUACUUAAGCUUUACAUGCCUUUUCCUUUAAUAUACUUCCUUUGUCUGCUGUUGUAAUCAUCUUUGAAUUUUUUUAUAAUAAACCUGUAGAGGUGGCUGGAUAUUGUUGAUAACUCAAUAACCAACUCAAAGCCAACACUGACUGAAGAGUUUGAUAUAUUGAGAUUUUGCUGAAUGUGACGCGAGCAACUGUUGGAUGACAAAAACAAUUUGCUUAUAAUGCAAUGGUUUUAAACAUAACCCAUAUACGGAUUUGUGUGGCAUAGCUAGCAUAACUAAAGGGAUUGUGAUACGACUAUUCUAUGUUACAUGUCACCAGCCUAUAGAUAUGAUCCCAUGAUUGAGUAGCGAAUGUUGGCAGCAAUGGUACUAUUAGAUUUGUAAUAAGAAGCUUAUGAGUUGAACUUAGUGAGAAGAUAGAGCUUGCAUUCAGCAAGCUUAUUGUAGCAGGAGACCAAUAAAAUUGGGCCUCACAUUUUACUCAUUCAAUGUCCGACAUCGAUGAGAGAUAGUAAGAGUUUGCAACCUGUAUAAUACAUUGUACAGGUGCUUUCUCGAUACCAAUAUAGGACAUUUUAAUCUUACUAAACUUACUUGGUUAACUAGUAGGGGGCUGCAAGUUCGAUAAUUUAGGCUGAAUUACAAUAUGUACUAUGUACAACUUGGUUUCUGGUUGAUAAUCUGACAAACCCAUACUUACAGAAGAAUAAACUGCGCCUAUCUUCCAACAUUUCAUCCACAUGUGAGUCUCUCUCAUGUAAACGUUUCGAGAAUUCCAUAGCUGUAAGCCUGUAAACUUUGCCACUCAUUACAGAGUGAAUAUAGAUGUGUACGUAAUCACUUCAUACAGUGCCACCACAUUUUUGUGUACUGUAGACGUUGAGAACUGAUCAAUGGAAAUGAAAACACAUAUAUCAUUCCGCAUAUGAAAGGAGACUGUCAGGGUGGAUUUAUGACUUCUAGUCCCACCUUGCUAGUGAAGGAUUUCUGUCAACAAACAGUUUCUAUAAAAUGUUUUUUGAUACUCACGCAGCUGCGCGGUGAACACAAAGCGGACUAUUCUUUCGCCUUUUACUAAAUGUUAAUUUGCGACAUUAGAGUGUAUUUUUACAGUGAAAUAUUGUUGUUUACGAUAUAUUAUUGCAUAUUGUGUGUUUGAUCAAAAAUUAUUGUGUGUUUGAUCAAAUCAGUGAAUUAGUAUUAUAACGAGCCGAAACGAGCCAGCGAGCCGAAACGAGCCGAGCUCGAGUUUUACUAUUGGCUCGUGAGCCGAGCUCGAGCUCAUAGUUCAGCUCGAUCUUAAUUUUAAGCUCAGCUCGAGCUCGGCUCGGUUAGUAACGAGCCGAGUUCGAGCAUACCUUAGCUCGGCUCGAGCGGCUCGAAUAGCACCCCUAGUAGAUAUGAUGUUUUUUAGGUAAAUACUAUGAUAAUAUACUUCCAAAUUUGAUUUUAUAUAUAUUUUGUAUAACAAAUUGAUAUAUUAGUCGAUACAUUCGAUGUAAAAUAUCCACCGAUAGAUUCCAAUAUAUUCCGAUAUAUCUAUUUUUUUGAGAUCGAUACAUUAGUCGAUACCGAUAUUUUGUACUAUGAUUCUGUCUAGAAAUAAGAACAAAUUUGUUUAAGAAAGUAACAAAAUCAAACAACCAUUUAAUGCAAAAACCUAGAAUCAUAAUUCAACAAUUAAAGAUCCAGAAAAUAACUAUCAUCUUGCCAUGAUUAUAAGAUAUUAAAACCAAAACUUUAAGGAAAUUAGAGUAGUAAAAAGUUUAAACCCUAACAAAAAAAAAUACCAAACCAGCAAAAUUAAAACUCAUUUCUUCUACUUGUUUGUUUGUUCUUUUUUUAUAAUUCACAAUGGUAGUGAUCCUCAUGACUUUUAAUCAUUCAGGAAAACAAAUCUCUAUAAAACCGUUAAUUCUUCGAUUUUCACUAUAAAAAAUCCACUAUUUUGAAUAAAAAGAGGAUAUAUCAUUGCAAUUGCUGCAAGAACCCAACAAAAACCAUAUCGUGAUUUCUUUCCUUUAAAAAGUCCUACCGACUAGCUAAACCCUUUGGCCUUGCUCAACUCCUUCUCCUACUAAACUCUUUCUCCACCACCACCAUUCAAAUCCUCCUAAACUCUUCCUCCACCACCAAAACAGCAAUAGAAGCCUUUGAGGUAAAAAACAAGAGUGGACUAGUGAUGACUGUGAUAAACAAUAAAUUAAGAAACUUUUGAAAGAAAAGAAACAUAAAAGAAGAUGAAUAUGUGAUAAGACCUCAAAAGUGUAUAUUUAUCCCCCGAAGAGCACAUUGUUUGUAUAUCACUUAGCUUAUAUUAUUGUGUAAUAUCUAUUGAUUAGUGAUUUCUUGUCAUUUAUGUAGGUUUUGUGAGCCAAAAGUCGAAUAUUGUGCUAAAGCCCACCAAAAUCCAAGAAAAGCCUUUAAAAAGUGUUAUUUGCACAAAAGAGAGAAAUUACUAUUUGUACCCGUACAUUGCUUGGACCGGCCUGUGGACUUGACUCUAUGUCGAAGAUGGGUUGUCCAAAUCCCAGCUCAAUCAAGUUGUAUUGAAGCCCAUAGGUCAAAAAAUCCAUUGAAGUUUGUUACUUGAAGCCCAAUCUAAAAAGUCUGUAUAUGAUGAUCUAAAACUCUGAUUUGGGCCCGUAAGCUGUUUAUCUGAAGGUAUUGAUCCAAACUACAACAAAGACCUAAGAAAAUUAAGGUUCCACAUGAUUCUGCUGCUUCUAGAAGCCCUACAGCAGCCACCACGAAUUUUGACGUAAUUUGAAGAUCUUGGAGAGCAAGGAUACUUAGUCAGAUCAGGGCAUUCCCACAUUCUCAGUAAGUCCAUGAUAUUCCCGUAAGCAGUCAAAGACUCGAAGGACAUUUAGCAGACCUCAAAACCAUCCCCAACCUCAGCUGCAAAAGUGCAGUCCACAAAUAAAUGAUGACAAUUUUGUAUGCAGAGUAGUUCAUGACACAUCUAUUGACCAUGCAUUGCCUUUCUUUCUAAGGAUAUCCAUGGUGAAAACUCUGACCCAUAGAAGGGUACAAAAACACAAUUAAAUUUAGCUGGAGUCUUUGGUUGUCAAACCUUCUCGACAGGAAAAGAGAAGUCACCAAUUAGCUUUUCAGUAAUUUUAUUUGCUUCCAUUGCAUGAUACAUUGCCUUACUGAGAGGGGUGGAUUACCAACUUAUUUCCUCACACCUCAAUGACGAAAACAUGUAUCUAGACAUGAAAUAACGAAAUCCCACAACAUAACACAUAAGAACUUUCUAAUUGGUUGAACAUAUUGCAACUAACUUUCUUCAUAAUGAUCAAGAGAUGUGUUUCAUAUCCUACUCGUUUGACAAUUCAAGACAGGCUGCAAAAACCUUAAAAGGAACCUUGUGGCAAUACAAACUAGAAUAUAAACUAGCUUUCUGAGUGAUUCAGGAUCAGACAAAUAAAA
This 4324-nucleotide long non-coding RNA is filed under the name Aquilegia coerulea. RNAcentral describes it as "long non-coding RNA (ACOE_LNC001664)". The record is from RNAcentral. Lineage: Eukaryota; Viridiplantae; Streptophyta; Magnoliopsida; Ranunculales; Ranunculaceae.